Molecule: ribosomal RNA, 253 nt
Filed under: uncultured prokaryote
Description: partial 16S ribosomal RNA
Rfam family: Bacterial small subunit ribosomal RNA
Source: RNAcentral
AUACGUAGGGUGCGAGCAUUGUCCGGAAUUAUUGGGCGUAAAGAGCUCGUAGGCGGCCUGUUGCGUCGGAUGUGAAAGCCCGGGGCUUAACCCCGGGUCGGCAUUCGAUACGGGCAGGCUAGAGUUCGGUAGGGGAGAUCGGAAUUCCUGGUGUAGCGGUGAAAUGCGCAGAUAUCAGGAGGAACACCGGUGGCGAAGGCGGAUCUCUGGGCCGAUACUGACGCUGAGGAGCGAAAGCGUGGGGAGCGAACAG